UACGUAGGGUGCAAGCGUUGUCCGGAAUUAUUGGGCGUAAAGAGCUCGUAGGCGGUCUGUCGCGUCGGAUGUGAAACCCCGAGGCUUAACCUCGGGCCUGCAUUCGAUACGGGCAGACUAGAGUUCGGUAGGGGAGACUGGAAUUCCUGGUGUAGCGGUGAAAUGCGCAGAUAUCAGGAGGAACACCGGUGGCGAAGGCGGGUCUCUGGGCCGAUACUGACGCUCAUGUGCGAAAGCGUGGGGAGCAAACAGG
RNAcentral lists this ribosomal RNA (253 nucleotides) under uncultured bacterium. RNAcentral describes it as "partial 16S ribosomal RNA". It matches the Rfam family "Bacterial small subunit ribosomal RNA", at positions 524 to 776 of the family's 1533-position model. The record is from RNAcentral.